UUAAAGUGAUGGUACGCAUGUAUCGUAAGGAUUUGAAGUUAAACCAAUUGAAGAAAAUAAGUUUCGUCGAGGUUCAAAAUUUAUUUGAAUGGAAUACGGUCCAAGCUAUAGUAUUUCGUAUUUUUGGACUAGAAAAAUUUAAUCGUCCAAUAUGAGUAAAAUUACCCGAGCCCGAAAAAUUCGAUCAUAUUCAAGGAUAAAAAUCGAGAGCUCGGUGUACAAAGAGUUUGAGGUCCCGAAAUAAUUUAGGACUUAACAAGUGUGAUAACGGUGAUUGGAAUAAUAUUUGGUGUAUGUAUAAAGAGGUUAUGGACUAGUGUUAUAUCUCAUUAUCAUGAUAACGAGUAUAUGAGGUGUGUUAAAAAAUUUUACUUAAGUGAAUUGAGAUUAAGGAAUUAAUUAUGUGGACAAUUGGUUAAAUGUGGAGAUGAAGUGGGAGAGUAUCGGAUUAAUUAUGGUAUUAAUUGAAUAAAAUGGAUAAGUUUAAUUUAUAUGAAUUCACGUGAGAACAUAGGGAUAAGGGAGACUUAUGACCAUGCAACUAUAAGAGGUUUAGGUGGCAGCAAUAUAGGUAUGUCUUGAAGUGGUGAAAGUUAGGUAGAUUCACGUUUUCAAGUAGAGGAAAUGGUGAUAUAUUAGUUCAUUUGGAUAGAAAAAAAAAAACUCUAGUAGAAUAGUUGCUGCAAUAUUACGUGCUAUGUGGAGAAGAACAACGUAUCUAUAAUUGACAAGAGGAACAUGGCAUUAUUCCUUGUCUACCUUAUUUGGGACAACAUUUUUUAUACUAUAUAUAUUUACUUGAUCCAUAGGAAAGGCAUUAAAAAAAAAAAAAUGUGUGUACCAAAAGGGACUAUGGACUAGUGCUACGUCACAUAAUCAUGGAAAUGGAUAUAUGAAGUGUAUUAAAAAUAAUUGGUAAAAAUGAAUUGAGAUCAAGAAAUUAAUUAUGGUAUUAAGUGGAAUUAAAUAAAUAAGCACUAUUAGCAAGUUGCCGCAUGGCAUUAGAUAAUUAAAAUGGUGGCUGAUACAUGGCACUAAUUAGGCCAAUAGGUGGCAUCAUAUUGGUACUAAAAUAUCAUGAGUCAUUAGCACAUUUAUGUACCAAAUGACACGUAUAAAGGUGGAAAAUGGUCCUUAUGACCUUAUUUCAUUUCAUUUGCAAUUGGAAACAAGGAAAGCAGCUGUUCAUUACAUAUUAUUUCUAAGAAAACGUUCAGGUGUUCAACAACACAAAAGUAUAAAAACACAAAAGUAGUUGCUAAAUUUUUAUAUCAUCUUCUCCUUCCUUGAUAGCUAAGUGAUGGCAUAAACGUUUUGGAGUGUUGUCACCCUAUUGUAUGGCUGGUUUUGAAAGCAUAGAGCUGGGAUUCUAAUAAAGUGUUCUAGAGAUUAAGGCUAAAAGAGCGACGAGACGAACGGGUUACGAAUAGCCGCUAACAGGUACAGACGAUCGAUUUGUUGAUCCGCCCACUUAGGAUCCUAUUCUGCUAUCUUGGAGUGCUCCUUAGUCCGGAGCCUAUAUUUUGUGUACAGACUCUUCUGUUGCACAUAUGUAUGUUAUUCAGGGGUAUGACGGAGCCCUGUCCCGUCUUAUGAUUUGCUUGUUGUUCGUAGAGGUCUGUAGACAUACAUGUGGGUUGUGUAUAUGUUUUGGGUUACUAUGUUCUAUGAUAGCCUUAUCGGCUUCCGUGCGAUAUGUCUGGUUGUCUAUGAUAAUUAGUAAAGCCAUUCGACUCCCGUAUCUGUAUAUUCUGGUUUGGGUUGUUGGGUACGUAUGGGUGUCCAGCACGGACACUAGUCACGGCCUACGGGGUUGGGUCGUGACAAAAGUGGUAUCAGAGCGGUUUGUCCUCGGAAUGUCUACAGGCCGUGUCUAGUAGAGUCUUGUUUAUCGGUGUGUUGUGCACCACAUCUAUAAACAGGAAGCUACAGGACAUUUAGGAUGUUACCUUUCUUUCAUAUCUAAGAUCGUGCGAUAGAGCCCAGCCAUAGGAAAUGAAAUUCCUUAUACUAAUUUUUGAUUUCAGCUGAAGAACGAUAUCGACAUAAGAAAGCGACCGAUGAUAUUAGCAGUUACAAGGUACACAGGUAAGUUACGAUGCGAAAGAGGCAUGUCGAAUAAAGUAAGAAUAUUGGAAUAUGAUUGAAAUGUAAAGUUGAAGGAUGAAAAAGAAGGUGGAUAGGAAGGUAUAACAGGACAGAUCGUUAAAGGAUCAGGUACGCCUCGAGGUGUAAUAUGUGAGGUAAGUCCCGAUACCUUUAUACUUUUUUUUUUGGAAAUUGGGAGCCCUGUGUGGCUAUGAUAUGAUACGAUAUAUGCAUAUAUAUGUUGGCCAUGUGAGGCAUUGUGGGUAUUUCCUGCGUGCAGGUUUUGAAAUAGUAAGAAAUACAGAGAAAAUUCUGCCAAAAUUUUCCUAGAAAUUAAUUAAAACUGUGAGAUAAAUAUUAUUUGGACAAAUGCCCUGUAAGUUAUCGACAUGUGACAAUGAGGUCCCAUAAUUUAAGACAGAAAAGUAUGACGAUGAUGAUUGGAGAUAAUAUUGGUGUGUGCAUUAAGUGGCUAUGGACUAAUGUUACAACACAUGAUUAUGAUAAUGAGUACACGAAGUGUGUUAGAAGUGAUUCAUUAUUUAAGUAAAUUGAGAUCAUGAGAUUAAUUAUGUGUGUAACGGGUCAAAUGGGGAUGAGUAAUUAAUUACCAAAUUAUUAUGGGAGACAGUGGAUGAGUGUAAAUCCACAUGGCAUCAUGAUGUUUAUAUCAAUAUAUAAUUAUUGUAAGGUGUUAAUUUAUUUAGUGGACACGUUUGGAAGAGAAUGCUUGUUACCAUGAAAGUGUCAAUUAUGUGGGCCCAUUUAAAUCUCUACAUAUAUGAUCUUACCAUUUCAUUGUUGAUGGGACCAAUAUGGUCAGAUUUUUCCCACAAAUAAUCCACAAAUUCUCAAAGUGAAGAGUGCAACAAAAGCACGACUCAUCAUCUAUGACUUUCUAUUAAAUCGUACGAGCAUCUAAGAUUAAAGUAUUGCUAGAGUUAGCCCUUUGAGUUGCCGAACAAAUGACAGGUGGAGAAUGGCAUUAGGCUAAGUAAAGAAAGGCACAACAUGAUAGAUAAGUUCGAGUUACAAUUGAUUCGUUAUAAGAUCACCAUAAACAGUAUACUUAUGCAAGACAAAUUUAACAUUCGAGGACGAAUGUUUUAAAGGGGGGAAGGAUGUUAGAUCCCGUAAUUUCAUACGUUGGAAAGUGUGCGAGUUAAAUGAUAUUAGUAACGGACACGAGGUUAUCCCCCAAGCUUAUAGGUGAUUAAAGUGAUGGUACGCAUGUAUCGUAAGGAUUUGAAGUUAAACCAAUUGAAGAAAAUAAGUUUCGUCGAGGUUCAAAAUUUAUUUGAAUGGAAUACGGUCCAAGCUAUAGUAUUUCGUAUUUUUGGACUAGAAAAAUUUAAUCGUCCAAUAUGAGUAAAAUUACCCGAGCCCGAAAAAUUCGAUCAUAUUCAAGGAUAAAAAUCGAGAGCUCGGUGUACAAAGAGUUUGAGGUCCCGAAAUAAUUUAGGACUUAACAAGUGUGAUAACGGUGAUUGGAAUAAUAUUUGGUGUAUGUAUAAAGAGGUUAUGGACUAGUGUUAUAUCUCAUUAUCAUGAUAACGAGUAUAUGAGGUGUGUUAAAAAAUUUUACUUAAGUGAAUUGAGAUUAAGGAAUUAAUUAUGUGGACAAUUGGUUAAAUGUGGAGAUGAAGUGGGAGAGUAUCGGAUUAAUUAUGGUAUUAAUUGAAUAAAAUGGAUAAGUUUAAUUUAUAUGAAUUCACGUGAGAACAUAGGGAUAAGGGAGACUUAUGACCAUGCAACUAUAAGAGGUUUAGGUGGCAGCAAUAUAGGUAUGUCUUGAAGUGGUGAAAGUUAGGUAGAUUCACGUUUUCAAGUAGAGGAAAUGGUGAUAUAUUAGUUCAUUUGGAUAGAAAAAAAAAAACUCUAGUAGAAUAGUUGCUGCAAUAUUACGUGCUAUGUGGAGAAGAACAACGUAUCUAUAAUUGACAAGAGGAACAUGGCAUUAUUCCUUGUCUACCUUAUUUGGGACAACAUUUUUUAUACUAUAUAUAUUUACUUGAUCCAUAGGAAAGGCAUUAAAAAAAAAAAAAUGUGUGUACCAAAAGGGACUAUGGACUAGUGCUACGUCACAUAAUCAUGGAAAUGGAUAUAUGAAGUGUAUUAAAAAUAAUUGGUAAAAAUGAAUUGAGAUCAAGAAAUUAAUUAUGGUAUUAAGUGGAAUUAAAUAAAUAAGCACUAUUAGCAAGUUGCCGCAUGGCAUUAGAUAAUUAAAAUGGUGGCUGAUACAUGGCACUAAUUAGGCCAAUAGGUGGCAUCAUAUUGGUACUAAAAUAUCAUGAGUCAUUAGCACAUUUAUGUACCAAAUGACACGUAUAAAGGUGGAAAAUGGUCCUUAUGACCUUAUUUCAUUUCAUUUGCAAUUGGAAACAAGGAAAGCAGCUGUUCAUUACAUAUUAUUUCUAAGAAAACGUUCAGGUGUUCAACAACACAAAAGUAUAAAAACACAAAAGUAGUUGCUAAAUUUUUAUAUCAUCUUCUCCUUCCUUGAUAGCUAAGUGAUGGCAUAAACGUUUUGGAGUGUUGUCACCCUAUUGUAUGGCUGGUUUUGAAAGCAUAGAGCUGGGAUUCUAAUAAAGUGUUCUAGAGAUUAAGGCUAAAAGAGCGACGAGACGAACGGGUUACGAAUAGCCGCUAACAGGUACAGACGAUCGAUUUGUUGAUCCGCCCACUUAGGAUCCUAUUCUGCUAUCUUGGAGUGCUCCUUAGUCCGGAGCCUAUAUUUUGUGUACAGACUCUUCUGUUGCACAUAUGUAUGUUAUUCAGGGGUAUGACGGAGCCCUGUCCCGUCUUAUGAUUUGCUUGUUGUUCGUAGAGGUCUGUAGACAUACAUGUGGGUUGUGUAUAUGUUUUGGGUUACUAUGUUCUAUGAUAGCCUUAUCGG
This is a long non-coding RNA of Lycium barbarum (goji berry), 4984 nucleotides long. RefSeq lists it as uncharacterized. The transcript is spliced from 5 exons. The record is from RefSeq and is a predicted model, not a curated record. Lineage: Eukaryota; Viridiplantae; Streptophyta; Magnoliopsida; Solanales; Solanaceae.